RNAcentral lists this ribosomal RNA (547 nucleotides) under uncultured bacterium. Its description in RNAcentral is "bacterial SSU rRNA". It matches the Rfam family "Bacterial small subunit ribosomal RNA", at positions 365 to 908 of the family's 1533-position model. The record is from RNAcentral.
UCGGCAAUGGGCGAAAGCCUGACCGAGCGACGCCGCGUGUGGGAUGAAGGCCUUCGGGUUGUAAACCACUGUCAACGGGGAGGAAGUGUAGAGGGGUACUCCCCUCUAUUUGACCUAUCUGUGGAGGAAGUACGGGCUAAGUUCGUGCCAGCAGCCGCGGUAAUACGAACUGUGCGAACGUUAUUCGGAAUCACUGGGCUUAAAGGGUGCGUAGGCUGUUACCUAAGUCAGGUGUGAAAUCUCUCGGCUCAACCGGGAAACUGCGCUUGAUACUGGGUGGCUAGAGUGAGGUAGGGGUGUGUGGAACUUCCGGUGGAGCGGUGAAAUGUGUAGAUAUCGGAAGGAACGCCAGCAGCGAAAGCGGCACACUGGGCCUUUUCUGACGCUGAGGCACGAAAGCUAGGGGAGCGAACGGGAUUAGAUACCCCGGUAGUCCUAGCCGUAAACACUGAACACUCGAGGAGGGGGGCUUCGGCCUUCUUCUUCUUAGCGAAAGCGUUAAGUGUUCCGCCUGGGGAGUAUGGUCGCAAGGCUGAAACUCAAAGGA